CCUACGGGAGGCAGCAGUGAGGAAUAUUGGUCAAUGGGCGGGAGCCUGAACCAGCCAAGUAGCGUGAAGGAUGACUGCCCUACGGGUUGUAAACUUCUUUUAUAAGGGAAUAAAGUGAGUCACGUGUGCCCUUUUGUAUGUACUUUAUGAAUAAGCAUCGGCUAACUCCGUGCCAGCAGCCGCGGUAAUACGGAGGAUCCGAGCGUUAUCCGGAUUUAUUGGGUUUAAAGGGAGCGUAGACGGGUUGUUAAGUCAGUUGGGAAAGUCUGUGGCUCAACCGUAAAAUUGCCAUUGAUACUGGCAGCCUUGAGUACGGGUGAGGUAGGCGGAAUUCGUGGUGUAGCGGUGAAAUGCUUAGAUAUCACGAAGAACUCCGAUUGCGAAGGCAGCCUACU
This 395-nucleotide ribosomal RNA is filed under the name uncultured bacterium. Its description in RNAcentral is "partial 16S ribosomal RNA". It matches the Rfam family "Bacterial small subunit ribosomal RNA", at positions 338 to 730 of the family's 1533-position model. The record is from RNAcentral.